This 484-nucleotide ribosomal RNA is filed under the name uncultured bacterium. Its description in RNAcentral is "partial 16S ribosomal RNA". It matches the Rfam family "Bacterial small subunit ribosomal RNA", at positions 28 to 523 of the family's 1533-position model. The record is from RNAcentral.
GACGAACGCCGGCGGCGUGCUUAACACAUGCAAGUCGAACGAUGAACCCGGAGCUUGCUCCGGCGGAUUAGUGGCGAACGGGUGAGUAACACGUGAGUAACCUGCCCUUGACUCUGGGUUAACUGCUAGAAAUGGUAGCUAAUACCGGAUACGACCCUCGGUGGCAUCACCAGGGGGUGGAAAGAAUUUCGGUCAAGGAUGGACUCGCGGCCUAUCAGCUAGUUGGUGAGGUAACGGCUCACCAAGGCGACGACGGGUAGCCGGCCUGAGAGGGUGACCGGCCACACUGGGACUGAGACACGGCCCAGACUCCUACGGGAGGCAGCAGUGGGGAAUAUUGCACAAUGGGCGCAAGCCUGAUGCAGCAACGCCGCGUGAGGGAUGACGGCCUUCGGGUUGUAAACCUCUUUUAGUAGGGAAGAAGCGAAAGUGACGGUACCUGCAGAAAAAGCACCGGCUAACUACGUGCCAGCCGCCGCAGUAA